Molecule: ribosomal RNA, 439 nt
Filed under: uncultured bacterium
Lineage: Bacteria
Description: bacterial SSU rRNA
Rfam family: Bacterial small subunit ribosomal RNA
Source: RNAcentral
AACGCGAAGAACCUUACCUGGGUUGAACUACGCAGGAAAAGCUGCAGAGAUGUAGUGUCCGCAAGGGCCUGCGAUAGGUGGUGCAUGGCUGUCGUCAGCUCGUGUCGUGAGAUGUUGGGUUAAGUCCCGCAACGAGCGCAACCCUUAUCCCUAGUUGCCAUCGGGUCAAGCCGGGCACUCUAGUGAAACCGCCCAGGAUAACUGGGAGGAAGGUGGGGAUGACGUCAAGUCCUCAUGGCCUUUAUGUCCAGGGCUACACACGUGCUACAAUGGUCGGUACAAACCGUCGCAAACCCGCGAGGGGGAGCUAAUCGGAAAAAGCCGGCCUCAGUUCGGAUUGGAGUCUGCAACCCGACUCCAUGAAGCUGGAAUCGCUAGUAAUCGCGGAUCAGAACGCCGCGGUGAAUACGUUCCCGGGCCUUGUACACACCGAGACGUA